This 462-nucleotide ribosomal RNA is filed under the name Micrococcus luteus. RNAcentral's name for it is "bacterial SSU rRNA". It matches the Rfam family "Bacterial small subunit ribosomal RNA", at positions 928 to 1387 of the family's 1533-position model. Lineage: Bacteria; Bacillati; Actinomycetota; Actinomycetes; Micrococcales; Micrococcaceae. The record is from RNAcentral.
AGCGGCGGAGCAUGCGGAUUAAUUCGAUGCAACGCGAAGAACCUUACCAAGGCUUGACAUGUUCCCGAUCGCCGUAAAGAUACGGUUUCCCCUUUGGGGCGGGUUCACAGGUGGUGCAUGGUUGUCGUCAGCUCGUGUCGUGAGAUGUUGGGUUAAGUCCCGCAACGAGCGCAACCCUCGUUCCUAUGUUGCCAGCACGUAAUGGUGGGGACUCAUGGAANACUGCCGGGGUCAACUCGGAGGAAGGUGAGGACGACGUCAAAUCAUCAUGCCCCUUAUGUCUUGGGCUUCACGCAUGCUACAAUGGCCNGUACAAUGGGUUGCGAUACUGUGAGGUGGAGCUAAUCCCAAAAAGCCGGUCUCAGUUCGGAUUGGGGUCUGCAACUCGACCCCAUGAAGUCGGAGUCGCUAGUAAUCGCAGAUCAGNNACGCUGCGGUGAAUACGUUCCCGGGCCUUGUACA